GUUCCUGGACUUCAAAGUGCUGGCUGCUGUGCUAACGAGGAGAGAUUUGCAUAAGGCCCUAAUCACGCGCAUACUGAUUAAGCUUCAUUAUGGAAACUGCCAGCUGCAAUCUUUGUUUCUAUUUUAUUACAAAAAGGGGAACUUUUCAUGCUUCAGUUGCCUUGACAAUGUCAGUCCUAGCUGGUAGGAGAGACUAAAACUCCUCUGAGCAACUGAAGUUUCCUUAUUCAGCUGAAGAUUGCUAUGGUGUAACUGAAGUUGUAUUUUGCUUCUCCUGUUAAUCCACUUUCCACUCCCCACCCUGUUCUCUGAAGAACAUGGUGCAGAUUUGUUAGAAAUAGUGCUACCUUCUUUCCCCCACCCCAGACCGCUACCUGUUUCUUGCUUGCUUUGGAUUGUCCACACCUCUAGAAGACUUCACAGCGAUGCUGGACUGCAGUGACUGUGUUCUAGGUGGGUACCAGCACAGUUCUUUCUUAGAAGCUUUAAUAUGGAAAUAGCACGUAAGGGGUUGACUAUGCUUAAAUGCUUAAUCACAUGCAGCCAAGGCAAGGGAGGGGGAGAGGUGGUUGAGUGAGGAAGAAGGAAAGCAUUUGCAAAGCACUAUGUGUGCUUGAGUGAGCUGUGGUCCCUCCCUAUGCGGGCUCUUCUGGUUCCGAGCGUACUUUGAAUAGUGUGGAUUGAGAAUUUGACCUCAAUGGGGGACAUUUUUUACUUUUGGGGGACUUCUGUGGAAAGCAUUUAAUACAAAUUCUAAAAAAAAAUUUUUAAAUCAGAAACAAGGUUUGAACUGUACCUAAAUAAUAUAAAAUGUACAUAUUAAUAAAAUUUUUGCAAACCUAGUAUCUCAGUGAAAAAUGAAGUGGAGCCAUCACCUAGAAUUGUUUCCGUACAUACUAUUGCAACAUUGUAGUGUUGACUGCAGUUUAUGUAUUGACCCAUUUCCAGAUUUUAGACAUUAUGAACUUUUAAAAUUCCAAGAUUAUGCCUUGUUUUUGUGUUGAAACCAACUAUCUUUUGUAGAAAACUAUGGUUUUAAGUAUUGGAAAGCUUAUCUUAAAAAGAGUUUUCCCUAUAGACAAGCAAGCCUUUAGAGAGGGAGGUAUCCUACUUUAAUUUUAAUGUAUACACUGCCUUUGGUUGUCUGAGAUUUAAAAUAGAUAGAGGCAUUCUGGUAUUGAGGCAGAUGGUGGCUCCUGGUGGCCACAUUUUGUGUGGAGUUUUGUUUAUUUCUCUAUAGUAUUAAUGAAACCUUUUUAGGUUAUUGUAGUCACCAGAAAAGUCAGGGGAUAGAAACUCCGGGAGUUGGAUACAUUAAGUCUAAAACUUCUGCUGAUGAUUUUUCUUUUCCUGUGUGUCAUUUUUCCUACUUGAAAAUUGAGGCUACUUCGGUCACCUUCCCAGUUGCCAAGGGAAAAUAAAUUGAUCAUUCUGAAGAUGGAUGAAUUCUUAUGCAGAAGGCAUGGCCUGAACCCAAGGUAGUAGUUACAUGGUUCCCCACAAUAAAAAUCCCCAUCUAAAGGGCACAUGAUGAGCAGUACAUGGAUG
Molecule: long non-coding RNA, 1548 nt
Filed under: Marmota monax (woodchuck)
Lineage: Eukaryota; Metazoa; Chordata; Mammalia; Rodentia; Sciuridae
Source: RNAcentral